This 490-nucleotide ribosomal RNA is filed under the name bacterium Chibwantu03. Its description in RNAcentral is "bacterial SSU rRNA". It matches the Rfam family "Bacterial small subunit ribosomal RNA", at positions 215 to 697 of the family's 1533-position model. The record is from RNAcentral.
UCACUUACAGAUGGACCCGCGGCGCAUUAGCUAGUUGGUGGGGUAAUGGCUCACCAAGGCGACGAUGCGUAGCCGACCUGAGAGGGUGAUCGGCCACACUGGGACUGAGACACGGCCCAGACUCCUACGGGAGGCAGCAGUAGGGAAUCUUCCGCAAUGGACGAAAGUCUGACGGAGCAACGCCGCGUGAGUGAUGAAGGUUUUCGGAUCGUAAAGCUCUGUUGUUAGGGAAGAACAAGUGCGAGAGUAACUGCUCGCACCUUGACGGUACCUAACCAGAAAGCCACGGCUAACUACGUGCCAGCAGCCGCGGUAAUACGUAGGUGGCAAGCGUUGUCCGGAAUUAUUGGGCGUAAAGGGCUCGCAGGCGGUUUCUUAAGUCUGAUGUGAAAGCCCCCGGCUCAACCGGGGAGGGUCAUUGGAAACUGGGAAACUUGAGUGCAGAAGAGGAGAGUGGAAUUCCACGUGUAGCGGUGAAAUGCGUAGAGAU